This 2846-nucleotide long non-coding RNA is filed under the name Sorghum bicolor (sorghum). Its description in RNAcentral is "long non-coding RNA (SBIC_LNC002574)". Lineage: Eukaryota; Viridiplantae; Streptophyta; Magnoliopsida; Poales; Poaceae. The record is from RNAcentral.
GUGGGAGAUAAGGUAUACAUACUUACAAGACAUUUAUUGCAUAGUCAAACCAUGGAUCCAAAGAAACAAAUCAAUAAGUUUAAUCAAGAUAUGCAUGUGUGGCGAAUGAAUGGUGUAUGGUGAUGAUGGUGAUAACAAUGGUGGAAGUCUAAUUCUACUUUUGCUCUUUGAGGGGAUACAUACCUUCCUUGCUUUUUAAAACUUUAUGAGGAGAAUGAGAUGCUCUUCUUUUUCUUUUCUCUCAGGUGGGUAUCUUGUACCCCUAAUUCUACUGUCGCACACUUGUCCAUUUUUACCUCUCGUCUCACCUUUUCUUUUCUUUCGAGGUUCCGAGCACUUGCUCCUUUUUAUUUCCUCGUUUUUUUAGAGCACUCAUCUCUUGAGAUAAUAUAGCAAGUGGUAGUAGCAAGAUAACUUGAGCAUUUAUUUCACUGGGGAAAAUCAGAAAUAUUUUUGGUUAUUCUCUCCCGGAUUAGGAGUAGAAUAUUUUUGGGUGAUUCUGGAGAUGGAAUGGGUGGAUAUAUGUGGAUGGUACUUCCGGAGUAGAAGUAGCAUAUAUGAGUGAACGUGCAAGUGAAUCUUGAUUUAACCGCAUGACAAGCUCCUAAGGGUCUACACAGCUUGACCACACUCAAUGCUCAUAAGCAGUAAAUAGUAAAUGUGUGGCUCAAAAUCUAGCAAGCAUGUAUAUAUGGCUGUGGUAGGAAUUUAAAACUCUCAUCAUACAGGAACUCAUCAUGCAACAUUUUAAAGAUUUUUAAAGAUGAAAUUCUCCAGAAUUCUAGCAUCUCUAGGAACAGAUAAACAGCAGCUCAACCUUCCCAUAUCGUAUCCGUUAACAACUUAGACUUCAGAUCAAGUUUUCAUCCCACAAGUUUAGGUCUAGAGCAAGCUUUAAAUUAUAACAGUUAUAUCUAAACUUGAGAGAGAACUUAAAAUGUGCAAAUUAGGCAGAGCAACUAUUCAUCUUAUCCAUGCUUGAGUUUUAUUUAGAUACAGAUUAGCAUAGCCACUUUAUUUAUUUAUUAAUCACACUAACCAAAAGACAUAUAUAUAUAAGCAUAAAAUCUUUAUUUGGUUUUUCAUAGUUAUGUAUAUUUAUAUUCUAAAAUAAUAUAAGUAUAAAGAUAGAUAGAUAGAAAUACUUAUCGAGAUAAAUGGGGGCGCUCUCCCCCAAGCUGAAUUUUGACGUAAUUUUCCUUGAUGUAGCUAGCAGGCGGCAGAGGUGUAUUUGAAAGUCAGCAGCAUUCUGACAGCGAUUAGAAUAUCCUCCGUCAGCUAGUCUUCUUGAUUCUUAAAUUCUGUUGAGCUCAAAUAGACAACAAAGCUUGUGGAACUGAUAAAGUGUUAGCAUAAAUAUCUAGCAUUUAUCAUGUUGAGACUCCUUAACAAAUAUUACUCCCUGUUUUUUAUAUUUUCAUUUUAUAAAGCAGAAAAGAAAUUUUUAUUUUAUUUUUAUGCCACCACAGUGAAUGUACUUAUGGGUUUUAUGCCACUCGUAUACUCACAUGGGGCUUACUGUUUUUCACAUUUUUAUUUUCUUUUAUUUUUAAGAUAGUAUGAAUAUGAUUAACUAAGUGAACUAUUUAAAAUAAUUGAAAUAAUUGAAAGGGAAAGGAUAACUACCAAGUUUACCUCUUGGCAAGGCGUUCGGUGUUUUUAAGUCCUCCGAACGGGACUCUCCAUUUUUUCAAUUGUCCUGAGGUUCGUUGGGUGGCGUAGUCGGUACUUCCGGCGGCGUCUCCUCUUCAUGUAUAGUUAUCUUCAUUUUUCAUACCUGACUCGGUGCUACGGUCUUCUCUGGAUAAUUCUGUUUAAACUCUACGUCUUCUGACCUUACAACUUCUCCUUCAUAGUCUGCCCAUCCAUCCUUGAUGAUUUCCCUCCUCUAGUUACGAUUGCGUCUUUUCCUUACCUGCUUAGAUUCUUCAACGAUAUAGUUAGGGUCAGUAAAAUAACGGCAUACCUUCUCUAAGGGGAAGUGCACAUGGACUUCUCCGGUUCCAAUGUAGAUGAUUGCUUUAACGGUGCUGAGGAACGGUCUCCCAAGGAUGAUGGGUGGAUCGUAUUCAUCUUCUCCCGUGUCAAUAACUUGAAAGUCUGUGUAGACAAAAUGAUCGUCUAUUUUGACUGGGACAUCAGUUACUAUUCCUUGAACUUCUCAAAAUGUCUGAUCUGCCAUCUGGAGCUGAAUGUAUGUUGGCCUUAGGGGCAUGGUUCCGAACAAGAGCCGAUAGGUGACUGCGGCCAUUAUGUUGACGCCCGAUCCGGUGUUACAAGUUGCCUUGUAGAAGUUAUAUCCAUUUAUGGAGCAGUAGAUGCUUGGCAUUCCUGGGUCGUCCUUCUUGGUCAAACGCGGUGACUUAAGUUGAUGAUCUUGGCCUCCAUGAACUACAGUGACCAUCUUAGCUGACUUAGUCCACACUUGUUUGUUCCUGUUCCUCCUGUUGGUCCUCUUCCUUGAUUCACGUCUGGAUUGAUUUGGAAUUUGUGUAGUCUUGUUCUUGAAGAAAAAUGUCUCCUUCCUCCCUUUGACGUAGAAACUGAUCUUGGCAGCACUAGCGUAGAUGAUAGCUCCCGUGGUGUUCAAGAAUAGCCUCCCUAAGAUAAUAGGUGCCCUCUCAUCAUUUCCGGUCUCUACUACUACGAAGUCUGCUAGAGCAUAUAAGGUACCAACUCGGACACAUGGUUGUUUCUAAUAAAGGAUAUGUAAAGAAUUUUUCAUAGAGUACCCUGGGUAUAAUGUUGACGCUGGAGCCAAAGUCACAGAGUGCUUCUGGGACAUCCACCAUGCCGAUGGAGAUCGGGAUGACGGGGCGUCCUGGAUCACCUCUCUUGACCGGCAG